RNAcentral lists this transfer RNA (70 nucleotides) under Caudoviricetes sp. RNAcentral's name for it is "tRNA-Val". Lineage: Duplodnaviria; Heunggongvirae; Uroviricota; Caudoviricetes. The record is from RNAcentral.
UGCAUAGUGGCAAUGCACACCAUGCUUGACGUGCGGAGGGUCACAGGUUCGAGUCCUGUAUCGUCCACCA